CACGAUAUAUGCGUUUGUCUUAGCGUCAAUUAUCGAUGCUUCUACAAGUAACCGUCAUUAACUGUGUAGUGAUCUACCCUAAAUAGUAACAAUGUGCUCCGUAACUUUUGGAUUGUAUGUAUAUUGUGAACAAUCUACCGACCCCUCCUCUCAAACCAAUCCUAAAUGCCGCCAUAUUUCAUCACCCCACACAUUGGUUCUUUCUGUGGUUACAAUACUUCUGUGUAAAAAAAUAAACUUUUUUUUCUUAAAAUCAGAUCAAUCGUUAGUUACAUAAGUAUAUAGGUUUGUUAUAUCCACCAAGUCAUUUAACACUUUUUCCCAUGUUGAGAUAGAUACGCUCCAUAAAUAUAGGCUUCCAUUAGUACGUACGUAAGAUUAAGACAUCUCGUAUAUUCGAUUCAAACACAUCAUUGCACUCUUAAGUCCCGAAGAAGACGGGUUCGUGUAAGAAGUAAAUCUAAGUCAAACCGGCCAAACUACCAAACGACAAUGUUUUUAACAGUUGAAGAACCCAAUAAAAGAAAGAGUAAUUCUUAGUGG
Long non-coding RNA from Aedes aegypti (yellow fever mosquito), 543 nucleotides. RefSeq lists it as uncharacterized. Lineage: Eukaryota; Metazoa; Arthropoda; Insecta; Diptera; Culicidae. The record is from RefSeq and is a predicted model, not a curated record. The transcript has 2 exons.